AUUUUCAUUCAUUCCCAUUUCACCAAAAAACUAACCCCCCCCCUCAAAUUCUCUCAAAUCCCUCUCCUCUCCGGCCAUGGCUCCGGCCAAGCACCGCCGCGGGCUCAGCCACUAUCGACUGUCGUGCAUGGCGACCGGAACUCCAAAAGUCUCGGUGGUUAACAAAGGUGCAACUUGAAGUCGGUGGACGUGACAAGUCGGUGGCAGUAGGCGCGCCAGUGGCGGUGGACAUGACAAGCCAGUGCAGCAGGCGCGCCAGUGGCGGUGGACAUGACAAGGGCAUACCUAGGUGCGGCGCACUUAGGGUUUUCUUUUGUUUUUUUGUGUUUUAUGGUUUUGGGCUUAAUUAGGCUUCGGGUUAGGCUGAAUUGGGUUUAGUUUUUAGGUUUGGUUUUGGGUCUUAUAGAUUGUUGGGUUGUUUGGUUUUGGGGUCUUAUUGGACCUCGGGCUAAAUUGGGCUUGUACACUAUCCAACAUAAAAUUGUGCUAAUUUGAUAAUAUUGUUAAUGUUUUUAAAAA
Molecule: long non-coding RNA, 519 nt
Organism: Gossypium arboreum
Lineage: Eukaryota; Viridiplantae; Streptophyta; Magnoliopsida; Malvales; Malvaceae
Exons: 2
Source: RefSeq, a predicted model, not a curated record